UUGGCAGAUGAGAUAGGGGCUUGCAUGGCCAAGGCAUUGGAUGUGAUAAUGGAGGAUACUGAGAAGUGGGCAACCAUGGCCAUGGAACAACAUAUUUGGGAAGCUGCAUACAUCGUUGGAAAAGUGAAGGGGAUCACGGAAAACUUGAGAUGGAUGUUGACAUUUAGCACAAUGGAGGCUAAUAAGAAUGCUUCAGCAACUUCCACUGGAUUUCAUACUCUCAGAAAGCGCUCAUCUUUUCAGAUUGGCUAGCAUUACCAAAAGAUAGAAUAACGGGCAGAAUAGCUUUUCCCGUCUGAUUAUGUGCGUGGAAUAUAUAAUUUGUUUUGUCAAAAUAAAGUAUAAGGCUGUUGGGCAUGAACAACAGGUAAAAUAGUUUUGUCAAUAUUGAUAUGGUAUGAUGGUUAAGUUGUGGUGUUAUUGUUCACAUCAUCAAGGUUCAAAUUCUGUUGGAAUAUUAUUGUUGAAUAUUUAUAUUGGGGAUGAGGUUCCUCAUUUGUGAUCUCUCAUUAGUUUAUAGCUUUGAAUAAAAAAGAUAUAGUUUUAGAGUGAA
This is a long non-coding RNA of Cryptomeria japonica (Japanese cedar), 553 nucleotides long. RefSeq lists it as uncharacterized. The record is from RefSeq and is a predicted model, not a curated record. NCBI's taxonomy places the organism in Eukaryota, Viridiplantae, Streptophyta, Pinopsida, Cupressales, Cupressaceae. The transcript is spliced from 2 exons.